Molecule: long non-coding RNA, 467 nt
Organism: Mustela erminea (ermine)
Lineage: Eukaryota; Metazoa; Chordata; Mammalia; Carnivora; Mustelidae
Exons: 3
Source: RefSeq, a predicted model, not a curated record
UUCAGGUCAAGAAAGGCCGCUGCAGUUCAGCUCUGAGCAGGAAGUGACUCCUUCUGCCAAAAGAGUUUAAAAACCCAUCCUAUCACCACAGCCUGCGGAAGACUGAUGAUCCUAUAGAGAGAACACAGCUGCCAGAGAGAGAGAGAGAACUGGUUUCCACAAAGAGGCUGAAUGAAGCUGCUGGCAGACACAGAACCUUGAGAUCAGAGAGAAAUGCAAUGAGGAAACACAGCCAGACUAGGAUUUUGCAUAGAAUUUUGGAUGAAAGCAAAGCCUUCCACUGAAUCAGCUGGCAAAGAUUCAGUCUUUAAGUGGUGUACUUUGAAUCUCCCCUUCUGGAACACAAUGGUGCUGAGUACCUACUCAUCUGAAUACAGGAAGGGCUGAGAAGGAGAGGAAAUAUCAGCAAUCAGCAAUAAUUUAGUUAAUGUUUCAAAAUGUCAACAUCCCUUGGAACUACAUUUAUU